This 316-nucleotide ribosomal RNA is filed under the name uncultured archaeon. RNAcentral describes it as "bacterial SSU rRNA". It matches the Rfam family "Archaeal small subunit ribosomal RNA", at positions 1029 to 1343 of the family's 1478-position model. The record is from RNAcentral.
UUAAGUCAGGCAACGAGCGAGACCCGCACCCCUAAUUGCCAGCAGCACCCAUGUGGUGGCUGGGUACAUUAGGGGGACUGCCGCUGCCAAAGCGGAGGAAGGAACGGGCAACGGUAGGUCAGUAUGCCCCGAAUGGGCUGGGCUACACGCGGGCUACAAUGGCCGGGACAGUGGGACGCUACCCCGAGAGGGGACGCUAAUCUCCUAAACCCGGUCGUAGUUCGGAUUGAGGGCUGAAACUCGCCCUCAUGAAGCUGGAUUCGGUAGUAGUCGCGUGUCAGUAGCGCGCGGCGAAUACGUCCCUGCUCCUUGCACA